UGAUCAGAGGCUCGGGAUAGCGGGAUAGCG
Molecule: non-coding RNA, 30 nt
Filed under: Mus musculus (house mouse)
Lineage: Eukaryota; Metazoa; Chordata; Mammalia; Rodentia; Muridae
Source: RNAcentral